GUGAAUCAUCAAAUUUUUGAACGCAAAUUGCACUUUCUGGUAUUCCGGAAAGUAUGCCUGUUUGAGGGUCAGUUAAAUAAAAAUCGGUGUUGUAGCUGCCUUGCGUGAUGACGCGUCGGAGUUGAGUCCUCUUACCUUCGGUUAAGCUUCUUAAAAUUUGUGCUUGAAUUUCGAACGUAUUUUAAUCGUCUACGUACGAUUGAGAUA
RNAcentral lists this unclassified non-coding RNA (207 nucleotides) under Glomus sp. RNAcentral's name for it is "partial contains 5.8S ribosomal RNA and internal transcribed spacer 2". The stretch from base 1 to 71 matches the Rfam family "5.8S ribosomal RNA", at positions 84 to 154 of the family's 154-position model. Lineage: Eukaryota; Fungi; Glomeromycota; Glomeromycetes; Glomerales; Glomeraceae. The record is from RNAcentral.